UUGAGACGACGGGAGCGCCGCCCCAGCUCUAUCAAGACGCUCCUGAUUUCAUUCCGAUAUUGGAAACAUGUCUGUGACAGUGGAAUCGCUUGAAAAGUCGUUUGGUGUAAGGAUGGAUUAAUU
Etheostoma spectabile (orangethroat darter) is the source of this 123-nucleotide long non-coding RNA. RefSeq lists it as uncharacterized. NCBI's taxonomy places the organism in Eukaryota, Metazoa, Chordata, Actinopteri, Perciformes, Percidae. The transcript has 3 exons. The record is from RefSeq and is a predicted model, not a curated record.